UGAGCAGAAGCAGCAAAAUCUCUCCUAUAGCUGCAUGCACACCCCGAGUGCUAUGAGCCAGAGCUAGACCUGGCUAAUGAUGCUAAUAACCUUAGUGCACCUCGUAUCACCCAAAUAUUCCUGAGGUUCAUGUGGCCAAAGUGCGUCAUUCAUUGGCCAGGCAAAAUAAGGCAACAACAACAACAACAAAAACCCUAACGUGGUUCCAAGCAACCUUAUGAGCCAUCCAGAUGGCCAGAGACAAGGAAAUAACUUGCAAAUGAUCUCGACGUCCUCCUGCGUCAUUUCCUGCAGUAAAGACCAGGCACUCUCACAAGAUGGUGAACGGCGGGUGCUCUGGAGACGUCCACAAUGGCUGUGUCUCCUCCGGGAUGGCACAAAAGGAUCCUCCAAAAAUAGGCCUCUGGGAUAAAGAGCUCCUGACAUUCUGACCUUGACUCUGCAGACUGCCAGGACUUCAAGAGAGGGAGAGUCCAAGGUGGCAGCCACUUGAGCACUCACUGGGCUCAGAGUAACAAGGGAUUAGCCCAAAGGAACCGGCUUCUUCUCAAGAUCAUCUGCGAGCCUAAAUCUUUGUGGCCGUCUGACAACGACCCUGUCUUCAGCUGACUUAAGGAAAAGUCCCGCAACACUGCUUCAGAAGUGGCCUGAGACCCAACCCUGCCAGUGUGGCAUGAAGGGAAAUUUUCUCAUUGAUUCAGAAAGACAGAGAGGCAUACCAGCACAAAAGCACUAUGAUCUCUCGUUGAAUGGGAAACAUCCAUGUCUAUAUGUGAAGUCUGGAACUGUGGCAGCCAUCUGGGGACCAUGAGGACAGCUAAUUGAUGACAAGAGCAACAUGCUGAGGGUGGGCAAAGAGAAAAGGUGGGAAAAACUGAGGUCCUGGGGGAAGCAGUUGAACCAACUUCAGUGCCACCUUAAUUUGGGGCUUCCUGUAUGUGAGAUAAAAUUUCCUUAUUGUGAAAGUCAUUCCGAGUUGAGUUUUCUAG
Molecule: long non-coding RNA, 989 nt
Filed under: Homo sapiens (human)
Lineage: Eukaryota; Metazoa; Chordata; Mammalia; Primates; Hominidae
Description: HSALNT0366142
Source: RNAcentral